Molecule: ribosomal RNA, 1287 nt
Filed under: Agreia pratensis
Lineage: Bacteria; Bacillati; Actinomycetota; Actinomycetes; Micrococcales; Microbacteriaceae
Description: bacterial SSU rRNA
Rfam family: Bacterial small subunit ribosomal RNA
Source: RNAcentral
UGCAAGUCGAACGAUGAAGCCUAGCUUGCUGGGUGGAUUAGUGGCGAACGGGUGAGUAACACGUGAGUAACCUGCCCUUGACUCUGGGAUAAGCACUGGAAACGGUGUCUAAUACCGGAUAUUUCAGCUGGCCGCAUGGUCUGGUUGUGGAAAGAAUUUUGGUCAAGGAUGGACUCGCGGCCUAUCAGGUUGUUGGUGAGGUAAUGGCUCACCAAGCCUACGACGGGUAGCCGGCCUGAGAGGGUGACCGGCCACACUGGGACUGAGACACGGCCCAGACUCCUACGGGAGGCAGCAGUGGGGAAUAUUGCACAAUGGGCGAAAGCCUGAUGCAGCAACGCCGCGUGAGGGACGACGGCCUUCGGGUUGUAAACCUCUUUUAGUAGGGAAGAAGCGAAAGUGACGGUACCUGCAGAAAAAGCACCGGCUAACUACGUGCCAGCAGCCGCGGUAAUACGUAGGGUGCAAGCGUUGUCCGGAAUUAUUGGGCGUAAAGAGCUCGUAGGCGGUUUGUCGCGUCUGCUGUGAAAACUGGAGGCUCAACCUCCAGCCUGCAGUGGGUACGGGCAGACUAGAGUGCGGUAGGGGAGAUUGGAAUUCCUGGUGUAGCGGUGGAAUGCGCAGAUAUCAGGAGGAACACCGAUGGCGAAGGCAGAUCUCUGGGCCGUAACUGACGCUGAGGAGCGAAAGCAUGGGGAGCGAACAGGAUUAGAUACCCUGGUAGUCCAUGCCGUAAACGUUGGGAACUAGAUGUGGGGGCCAUUCCACGGUCUCCGUGUCGCAGCUAACGCAUUAAGUUCCCCGCCUGGGGAGUACGGCCGCAAGGCUAAAACUCAAAGGAAUUGACGGGGGCCCGCACAAGCGGCGGAGCAUGCGGAUUAAUUCGAUGCAACGCGAAGAACCUUACCAAGGCUUGACAUAUACGAGAACGGGCCAGAAAUGGUCAACUCUUUGGACACUCGUAAACAGGUGGUGCAUGGUUGUCGUCAGCUCGUGUCGUGAGAUGUUGGGUUAAGUCCCGCAACGAGCGCAACCCUCGUUCUAUGUUGCCAGCACGUUAUGGUGGGAACUCAUAGGAGACUGCCGGGGUCAACUCGGAGGAAGGUGGGGAUGACGUCAAAUCAUCAUGCCCCUUAUGUCUUGGGCUUCACGCAUGCUACAAUGGCCGGUACAAAGGGCUGCAAUACCGUAAGGUGGAGCGAAUCCCAAAAAGCCGGUCUCAGUUCGGAUUGAGGUCUGCAACUCGACCUCAUGAAGUCGGAGUCGCUAGUAAUCGCAGAUCAGCAA